Molecule: long non-coding RNA, 542 nt
Organism: Daphnia magna
Lineage: Eukaryota; Metazoa; Arthropoda; Branchiopoda; Diplostraca; Daphniidae
Exons: 3
Source: RefSeq, a predicted model, not a curated record
UUGUAGACCAGAAAAAGAAACGGAAACUUUUCAAAGUGCACCUCUAAAGCAAAACCAACUGCCCAAAGAUUCUUCCGGAAAGAAAAAAAGUAAAGAUACCAGUUGUGCAAAACUGCAUUGUACAUCAGAAAAAGUAAUGAAAACAUCCGUAAAUGCGCCUUUAAAGAAAAACCAACUGCCCACAGAUGAUACCUGCUCUCCUGCCACAACUGUGACUACUUCAACCGAAUCUGUGGGACAGAAAAAGUGGAUAUUUAUUGAUGAUUCACCUGUUAAAGUGAAACAGAUUAAACCAAAGAAAAAGUUAUUUUUAUGUGAAAACUAAAAUAAAAUGCACGAAAGGCGUCGAAUACUUCCAUUCAAUGGAAACAACCAGGAGCAAUUAAGUGGUACUUUCCAGAGCCAUUACAAAAGAAUAUGGUGUCCAGCAAACGAAACAUGGAUCACGGAAUAGUAGGAAAACCUACGCUACUUUUAAAAUCCGAUUUAAAUGUGUUCUUUAUAAUAUCGUUGUCAUUGCGCAACCUGUUUUUUAAAUUUAU